This is a long non-coding RNA of Fukomys damarensis (Damara mole-rat), 1572 nucleotides long. NCBI's taxonomy places the organism in Eukaryota, Metazoa, Chordata, Mammalia, Rodentia, Bathyergidae. The record is from Ensembl.
AAAGAGGAGGAAGAGGGCCCGGCCACGUGGUGAUUUCUCCUGCCUCUCUUCAGCUGCCUUUGGCUAGCAGGGAAGCAGGAAAACGCAGUCCCUAUCUCCUGGGGUAAAAUUUACUGGUUAGGACGAGGACAGGGUCAGCGCUGCCCAGGCUGACCGCAUAAGGGCAUGUGGGACCCGCACCCUUUAGCCACCACGAUGGGAAGGAAGCUGGACUCUGAACGAGUGUGGAUGCCCUUGGCUUGUGAUGGGCUUGCACCAGUGUGCUCCAUAGAAGUGGAAAACGUACGAGUCAGGAAUACGUGUAGUACACCUGAGCGCGUGUGCCAGCUGUUCACCGUCACAAGUGCUGCCCAGUCACGAAGGUGCAGUGCUUCUUCAGCCCCGAAGAGGUCAAAAUCCAAAGUGCAGCUUCCACUGGUGUUUGUCACCUUUGCGACACCUUUAAGUUACAAAAAAAAGAGUGCAUGGAGCCAUCGUACGUGGGGGCUGCCUCUGCUCUCAGGUGGGCAGCCCCGGCAGGUGACAGGAGGCCACGGGGAAUUUCCUGCAGACUGUGGUGUUCUGCUCCGCCAGUCCCCAGCACUGCUCCGAGUGCUGCCAGAUCAGCUCUGUCGGAGCGGUCAGUCCCUCUACAGACACCCCUUUCCGGCUCCAAAUGGGGUGUCUCAGGCCCUUGGUCACACCCCAGCCUUCCUUCUGACUUCUCCUCUAAGGAAAGUGUUGGUUUGUUGACCAAAAAAACAAAAAAGGAAGCGAGUGUCUCACUGCAGACCUAAAUAUGUGACGAUCAAAUCCCUGUAGCCAAUUUCUUUCCUUAAUCAUUUCUUUCUUCUGUUAAGAUAAAACUGUUUAAAAAGCCACAAGAUUUCAUAGUACCUGAUUGUAAAAUAAAAACUGGUCAUUAUACUAAAUUUCUCACUCCUGCUAUUGGAAGAGCCCUCUCCCAACCCAGAGGCCCCCUGCACAGAGCCCUCACUCCAGUGUUGGGCUGCAGUCGGCAUCCCUAGCACGUGUGUGCACGUGAGCGUAUCUCCACCUCGCCGGAGCAUUUGCACUCAUUCCGUCACCCCGAGUUUCUCUUAGGUUGCUACUUGCUGGUGUAGAUCUUCAGCCCCUGAGGGUGGAUCGCAUUUAUGAAAACAGUCAAAAGCCCAAUCAGUGAUUGUGGGGUCAAGGUCACAGGAUGCUGGGGAGCAGUGGCCCCAGUGGCCUUCCUUUGUGGCCCCAGGUGUCUUAGAGGCAACCAGGAGCGGACAUUGAGGCUCACGUGCUCGUGGAGGCCCCCAUGCUGGUCCCCGGAGUGUGUGUGUGUCAGCGAGAGGAGAGGGGAGGCCCAGGGGACCCCAUACCUGCUUCCUCUCUGGUCACAGCCUCAGACCCCAGUUCUCACCCACAAGGCAAGCACCAGCCUCUCUCCCCCAGGACAUAGGCUUCCCGCCCCUCCCCUUCCCAGAGGGAUUCUUAUGGCUCCACACCUCCACCUCCUGCGCCUUUAAAUCUGCAGCCCCAGAGCCUCUGAGGGUGUGGGUGAGACCCUCGCCGCCCCCCCACCCCGCAGCUGGAGCCCCAGCC